Balaenoptera ricei (Rice's whale) is the source of this 422-nucleotide long non-coding RNA. RefSeq lists it as uncharacterized. NCBI's taxonomy places the organism in Eukaryota, Metazoa, Chordata, Mammalia, Artiodactyla, Balaenopteridae. The transcript is spliced from 3 exons. The record is from RefSeq and is a predicted model, not a curated record.
AUGAUGGCUGGAGCUGCAGUGAUGAUCUCAUAGUCAUGAGCUGAUUUUAAGCAUAGAAUCCAUGUACUAAAGAAGUAGAAGAAGAAAGAGUGAGCCUGGAAAAUUUGCGAAAAUGGGAGCUGUUUUACCAGCCUGAAUCUCCCUGCCUUUAAACUUCACUUCCAUGAGCUCCCCCCUCGCUCUUUCUUGUCUGAAGGUUCCCUGACACCGUUGACAAGGCUGACACCACCAAUCAGCUUCGACUCAGCAAGGUCACUGUUCAGACUUGACUCGGGAUUGGCUGCUGCGCUUCAGCGUGUUAUUACUGUCUGAUUUGAUCGGAGGCAGGGGGUGGUCUCCAAUCAAACAGAGAAAAGGUCCUAGAGAAGGCCCUGGAAUGCUUACAAAACAUUUCCCUGGAGGACACUGUAGGAGGAAGUGAG